CUCAUCAUUUGUGCCAGUGGCCCCGCAUUAUUUCUUGAUGAAGUGUGCAAACUGGGAAGCUGAUAGCUCUGGAAAUGAGAAAGCAGAAAUUUCCAAGGAAACUAUAUUUCAUACAUUGAUGGAAAUGUAUGGAAAGCAUACAGUUGGACCGAGAAACUAAUUCUCAGUGAAAAUUAUUUGACUGAAUUACAUAAGGAUUCAUUUGAAGGCCUGCUAUCCCUCCAGUAUUUAGAUUUAUCCUGCAAUAAAAUACGAUAUAUUGAAAGACAUACAUUUGAAUCACUACCAUUUUUGCAGUAUAUAAAUCUGGGCUGCAAUUUAAUUACAGAACUGAGCCUUGGAACAUUUCAGGCCUGGCACGGAAUGCAGUUUUUACACAACUUGAGGCAUGAGGAGGUGAGAGAUGGAAAGAAUGCUGUCUGUCAUUUGGAGUCAGAAGGAAAAGAAGGUUGAGGGUCUGCCAGCUCUGCUCUAGUGGUUUUUUCCUGUUUCACCUUUUACAAAAUCGAGAUAAUCGUUUCUACUUGGUAGCGAUAUUGUGAGGUGUAAAAUGGAUUAAUACAUGCAAAAUGCUUAAAGCAACUUCUGGCAUACGGUGAUCUCUCAACCAAUCCAUUGUUAU
This 622-nucleotide long non-coding RNA is filed under the name Homo sapiens (human). Its description in RNAcentral is "HSALNT0389318". Lineage: Eukaryota; Metazoa; Chordata; Mammalia; Primates; Hominidae. The record is from RNAcentral.